This 1034-nucleotide long non-coding RNA is filed under the name Salmo salar (Atlantic salmon). RNAcentral's name for it is "lncRNA (ENSSSAG00000119520.1)". The record is from RNAcentral. Lineage: Eukaryota; Metazoa; Chordata; Actinopteri; Salmoniformes; Salmonidae.
GGAACAAUGACACUGGAGAUGCGCGUCCACGAGACGAUUCCAUGUUUUUCUUUCAGUCUUUGAAUGAAUACAACGUCGCCCGGUUGGAAUAUUAUCGCUAUUUUACGAGAAAAAUCGUAUAAAAAUUUAUUUUAAACAGCGUUUGACAUGCUUCGAAGUACGGUAAUGGAAGAUUUGGAAUUUCUUUGUCAUGAAAUGCGCUCGCGCGUCACCCUUCGGAUACUGACCUGAACGCACAGACAAAACGGAGCUAUUUGAAUAUAACUAUGGAUUAUUUGGAACCAAAACAACAUUUGUUGUUGAAUUACAAAUCCUGGGAGUGCAUUCUGACGAAGAACAGCAAAGGCCGGUGAUUCCUGCCCCCCUGGCUGAUGCUGUCCCCUACGACACCACUUUGCCCCCUGUGCACAUCGAGAUGUCCCGCCUAUGCCUUAAGAUCCCUACUGGACUCCCGACGUUGUAGGGUUGGCUCCAGUAGCUGGUGGACUGGGAAGGGUACGGCCCAGAGGAGCGGUGUUGGGUUCCGGUGGAGGACAUUCUGGAUCCCAACAUCAUCCGUGAUUUCCAUCUUCGCUUCCAGGACUGGCCAUGGUCACCGACAACGCUGGUUUACUAACCACCGGUCCUGUCACCCAUCAUUACGCGCACCUGCGCUUCAUCAAUAGGCACACCUGUACUCCAUUACCUCCUAUUUAAUCUGUCUGUCCCUUAGGUUCAUUCCCUAGGCAGUAUUGACUGUCUUUCAUGUCUGUACGCUACUCGUGUUUCUUGUUAUUUUUCAACUCACCACCUGCACCUGCUUUCUGUCUCCCAGCGUAUACGUUACAAUCGCUUAUUGUACCUGCCAGGCUAUUGUGUCGCACUCGCAAAUGCUUCAAUGUAUUUCUUUAUAUACUACAACCUUGAAAUAAUAUGUCUGGCUCCUGACCUAUUUAGUGUUUAUAUGCUGUUUAAUAUGACAUGUAGCCCAUUUGAAAUAAUGAGCGCUUCGUAAAGUCACCUUUUCAUGUUUAUUAAAAUACUUUUCAUUCAAA